Molecule: ribosomal RNA, 345 nt
Filed under: Pseudocenococcum floridanum
Lineage: Eukaryota; Fungi; Ascomycota; Dothideomycetes; Gloniales; Gloniaceae
Description: SSU rRNA
Rfam family: Eukaryotic small subunit ribosomal RNA
Source: RNAcentral
AUAGCGUAUAUUAAAGUUGUUGCAGUUAAAAAGCUCGUAGUUGAACCUUGGGCCUGGCUGGCCGGUCCGCCUCACCGCGUGCACUGGUCCGGCCGGGCCUUUCCUUCUGGGGAGCCGCAUGCCCUUCACUGGGUGUGUCGGGGAACCAGGACUUUUACUUUGAAAAAAUUAGAGUGUUCAAAGCAGGCCUAUGCUCGAAUACAUUAGCAUGGAAUAAUAAAAUAGGAUUUCGGUCUUAUUUUGUUGGUUUCUAGGACCGUAGUAAUGAUUAAUAGGGUCAGUCGGGGGCAUCAGUAUUCAAUUGUCAGAGGUGAAAUUCUUGGAUUUAUUGAAGACUAACUACUG